CGCAUAAUUAUAUUAAUAAUUGGGUGUUAUUGAAUGAUUUAUCAGUCACGUAUAAAAGUAUCACAAUAAGAGAUUAGACAAAACUGAAGAAUAAGAAUAACCAACUAUUAUAAAAAAUAAAAACAAGAUAAAUAGGAAAUUGAAUAUAAUAAUACAGCAUAUAUUACAAUCAAAAAAUAGAAACGAAGGAAAUAAUAAUACACAAUUGGAAAAUGUUGAAUUUUGCCAAUUACAAACAAAAGAAGAAUUUGAUGCAUUAGAAAAAUCACUUGCGGAGGAUGCAAAGAAAGGAGAACAAUUAAAAACUUUUAUAAGGCAAGAAGGUGGAAAAGACGCUGGAGACCAUAUAAGGCGAGCGAUGAAGAGAAUAAUGGCAGAUCUCUUAGCUGUGCAAUAUUCUUGGAGCAGACAAAAGAAUACUAUCCGGUUUAAAGAUUCAUUUACUUCAAAACUUAUUCUGAAUUCUGUAACGUCGCUGCACACAUCAUCAUGUAUGAAAAAAAUGGAAGAUGCUAUACAAUCAUGGUUAAAUCACGCAUCGGAUCGUAUAAAAAAAGGAAGGGAAGGAAGAAGAGAGACUCAUGCAUGAUUUAAUAUAAGAAAUAUUGCAACAAAAACUGG
Molecule: long non-coding RNA, 621 nt
Organism: Camponotus floridanus (Florida carpenter ant)
Lineage: Eukaryota; Metazoa; Arthropoda; Insecta; Hymenoptera; Formicidae
Exons: 6
Source: RefSeq, a predicted model, not a curated record